RNAcentral lists this ribosomal RNA (518 nucleotides) under uncultured Alternaria. Its description in RNAcentral is "eukaryotic LSU rRNA". The stretch from base 169 to 322 matches the Rfam family "5.8S ribosomal RNA". The record is from RNAcentral. Lineage: Eukaryota; Fungi; Ascomycota; Dothideomycetes; Pleosporales; Pleosporaceae.
UUACACAAAUAUGAAGGCGGGCUGGAACCUCUCGGGGUUACAGCCUUGCUGAAUUAUUCACCCUUGUCUUUUGCGUACUUCUUGUUUCCUUGGUGGGUUCGCCCACCACUAGGACAAACAUAAACCUUUUGUAAUUGCAAUCAGCGUCAGUAACAAAUUAAUAAUUACAACUUUCAACAACGGAUCUCUUGGUUCUGGCAUCGAUGAAGAACGCAGCGAAAUGCGAUAAGUAGUGUGAAUUGCAGAAUUCAGUGAAUCAUCGAAUCUUUGAACGCACAUUGCGCCCUUUGGUAUUCCAAAGGGCAUGCCUGUUCGAGCGUCAUUUGUACCCUCAAGCUUUGCUUGGUGUUGGGCGUCUUGUCUCUAGCUUUGCUGGAGACUCGCCUUAAAGUAAUUGGCAGCCGGCCUACUGGUUUCGGAGCGCAGCACAAGUCGCACUCUCUAUCAGCAAAGGUCUAGCAUCCAUUAAGCCUUUUUUCAACUUUUGACCUCGGAUCAGGUAGGGAUACCCGCUGAAC